CCAAUCCACAAAAGACACUCCUCUCCAGGAAGUAAGCCAACAGCGCAGCCUCUCCUGGUGGUAUUUCAAGCUUUAAGAGCUCUCUCUCUCUCUCUUGCUCUCAUUCUUGCUCUUUGUCUCUCUCUCUCUCUCUAUCUCUCUCUCCCUCCCUAAUCCUGUUGCAGGGGGUCUCCUUAUGUAACUGGCCUAGAACUCACAGGGAUCCUCAUGCCUCCGCCUCCCAAGUGCUGGAGUUACAGGAGUGCUUCACCACACUCAGAUCGUCUUGUUCUUCAGUUGUUCUUCUCAUCAAUAUCAGGAAAGAAGGAUGCUGGGCAUGAGCCUGUCCCAAACCAUGGCCACCACCAAGACUUUGUCUCCUCUGCAACCAGGAGGGUCACUGGAACUACAACUACCCUGUCUGUAAGAGAGCAGGAGCAUGGAGACUGUCCCAGGGACCAUGUCAUCCUGCCAUACCUGUACCAGCCAGCACCAUGACCUGGAAUCAGAAGAAAGAAGCCUGGAAACAAGGCCAGGAGAAGACACUGCAGACACUCAGGAGGCUGAGCCGUGGGAAGUGCGGAUAGGAGGGCGCGUUCUUUCAUAAUUCACACUCUACUCAGUUUCAGAGUGCAUCCCAUGAAAGUAUAGUCCUCUUAUGAUGGAAACAAUAACUUCCUUCUGUGCUCUCUAGAGGCACUAACCUCUGUUUGUUCAGCACUUGCAGUGGAUGUGGGAGAUGGCAGGGGCCUGGCACACCACAGUGGAGCAGGAGUUUUCUGCCUGUUUUCUGCAGAGACUAAGGGAGCAGAGCCCCUGGCAGCCUCCGAGGCCAGGCAUCCCAGACCCUGCUCCCCCGAAGCCAGCCCCUCCCCAUCUGAAUCCAUGUGCUUACCUGUGUCCACAUCUGCUAUGCUCUGCCACAUGGAUGGUGGGUCCAGGGCUUUGCCUGGGGAUGUGACCUGAGAGAGAGCGCCUGACUGUUGCAGUCCCCUCCCUGCCACCCCAGCCGACCACAGGCCUGGGUCGGGUGGGCUCAGCUCUGUCACCACAGUGUUUUUCUUUUGGUCUAACCUGUUCCAGCCUCAGAGGUUUGAGAUCACUGAGAACUGCAGCUCUGACCAAGAGGAGAUCUCCUAUGGCCUGUGUGGCCAUCGGAUGCUGAUGCACAUGAAUGAUUUCCUUUGUGGGCAUGGGGGUUACUGUCACUGGCAUCAGGCAUGGGAGAAUCAUGUCGGGUAGUGUGGGGCGUGUGUGUGUCACGGUACCUCCACAUAGUCUGGAGAAAAUCUUGCGUAGGUUUCCCAAAACCAUCAGAAUGAGCUUGUUAGGGACAUCCUUCAGGCUGCACGUGGACAAUGAGCUUCUGGCGGGUCAGAGCAUCUCCUCCCCCAGUCAUCUUUUCUGGUCCUUCUUCCUAGAAUUUGGUCUCUGCCACCUCUGAUUCGACCCUGUCGUGCCCAGAAUCUGCCCUGUCCUAGGCACAGUUUAGGUCCUUGCUCCUGAUGUCCCUGAGCUCCAGACCACAUCCCUGUUGGGGCUAUGCCUCUCAAACCAGGGGCAGGCAGGUCCAGCUCCUUUUGGUUAGUAAACAAUUUCUCAUGACCUAUCCUUCGUAACAAAGGCAAGGCAGAAGGGGUCAUAGUCCCUGACUUGAAGUUACAUUACAAAGCUGCUAUCAUAAAGUCAGCAUGGUACUUCAAUAAAAAUAGACCUGAAGAUCAACGGAAUAGAUUAGAAGAGACAUCUACAACUACAAACACACUCAGACACACCUUACCUUUGACAAGGGGACCAAACACGUUCACUGGAACAAAGACAUCCUUGUUAAUAACUGAUGCUAGAAAAACUGGCUCUCCGUAUGCUUUAAAGUAAAACUAGACCCUUGCCUAUCACCAUGUACUAAACUACAGUCAAAAUGGAUCAAAGAUCUAAAUAUUAAAAGAGAAACACUAAAUCUGCUAGAAGACAGAUGAGGUAUAAAUCUUGAAGGUAGUGAAGAGAAUUCAUGAACAAAAAUCAAACAGCAUGGGAAGUACUUCCAGAAUCCAUAACUGAGAUCUCAUCUUAUUAAAAGGUUUUUGCAUGUCAAAAGAAAUCUCAAAGUAAAAAAGAACUCAUGAAUGUUUAAAAAAAUCUUAGUCAACUGUCCCUCAGACAAAGGACUUCUGUCUAUAGCAUAAGGAAUUUAAAAAUCAGACCCCCAAAAUACAAAGGCCCAAUCCAAAAAUGGGCAUCUGAGAUGAAUACACACUUCUCAGAUGAAGAAAUACACAUGGCAAAUAGACAUGAAGAAAUGUUCAGCAUCAUUGGUCAUUAGAGAAAUGCAAAUUAAAACCACACUGAGAGCCCAUCUCACUCAGAAAGAAUGGCAAGGAUCAAGAAAAUUACCAGCAACAAAUCCUGGAGAGGCUGUGAGGAAAAGGAACUCUCCUACACUGUUGGUGGGAGUGUAGACUGGUGCACCUCUCUGGAGGCCAGAUUGGAAGUUUCUCCAAAAGCUGGGAUUGGAAGUCCCAUUUGAACCAGCUAUUCCACUUCUGGGCAUAUUGAAGAAGAACUGAAAACAUGAUAUCACAGUGAUAUAUUUGCACCCAUGUUCAUAGCAGCACAAUUUGUAAUAGCCAGAUCUUGGAAACAACCAAAAUGCCCAUCAACUGAGCAAUAGAUAAAAAGAUGAGAUACCUUUUUACAGUAGAAUCCUACGCAGCUGUAAAGAAUGAUCACGUUCAGAUUUGUAUCGGUAAAUGGAUGCAACUGGAGACCAUACUCAUAAGUGAAAUAAAUCAAAAUCACAUAUAUAAAUACUAUAUUGUCUCCCUAGUGUGAGAAACAGUAAGGCACAAAAUCCUCAACAAAUCCUGUGAAAGGUUAAGAACCGGCUCAAAAAGGAAAACUGUAUCAUCUCAGGGAAAACGAGAAAAAAAAGGAAAGAAAAACACAAUAUACAUAAAUUUGUAUACACCCACUUAAGAUAACUAAGAUGAUUGUGCUGCAAGUUCUAUUAGUUCUUGGGACAAAACAGUUAACAUUCAUAGGACUGGAUCAAUUUUGGUUGUUUAUGUCUGGUGAUCUGAGGAACUCUGUUGAAGAUCACUAUGUAAGAUAGUUCUGUUCCUACCACCUUGUUUUGAAGGACUAUAUCGUCAUUGUUUUAGGUAUUUUGCUAUUGUUUAGUUGUCUUUUUUGUUUCUUGUUUUCUAGUAUUUUGUUGUUUUGCUUUUCCCUUUCAUGUAGAGAGAUAGGUGUAUAUGUAAAGGCUUAUACAUGCCCAGAACUUCUCCAUAACAGUUCAUGAGCAUCGAUUGUAUUACGUGUGAUGAAAUAAACAGCUACGUUGAAGAAAAAGAGA
Cavia porcellus (domestic guinea pig) is the source of this 3331-nucleotide long non-coding RNA. RefSeq lists it as uncharacterized. The transcript is spliced from 3 exons. The record is from RefSeq and is a predicted model, not a curated record. NCBI's taxonomy places the organism in Eukaryota, Metazoa, Chordata, Mammalia, Rodentia, Caviidae.